RNAcentral lists this ribosomal RNA (354 nucleotides) under uncultured bacterium. Its description in RNAcentral is "bacterial SSU rRNA". It matches the Rfam family "Bacterial small subunit ribosomal RNA", at positions 8 to 350 of the family's 1533-position model. The record is from RNAcentral.
AGAGUUUGAUCAUGGCUCAGGAUGAACGCUAGCUACAGGCUUAACACAUGCAAGUCGAGGGGAAACGACAUCGAAAGCUUGCUUUUGAUGGGCGUCGACCGGCGCACGGGUGAGUAACGCGUAUCCAACCUGCCCAUCACUUGGGGAUAACCUUGCGAAAGUAAGACUAAUACCCAAUGACGUCUCUAGAAGACAUCUGAAAGAGAUUAAAGAUUUAUCGGUGAUGGAUGGGGAUGCGUCUGAUUAGCUUGUUGGGCGGGGUAACGGCCCACCAAGGCGACGAUCGAGUAGGGGUUCUGAGAGGAAGGUCCCCCANAUUGGAACUGAGACACGGUCCAAACUCCUACGGAGGCA